Molecule: RNA transcript, 2539 nt
Organism: Poeciliopsis prolifica (blackstripe livebearer)
Lineage: Eukaryota; Metazoa; Chordata; Actinopteri; Cyprinodontiformes; Poeciliidae
Gene: sptlc1
Gene name: serine palmitoyltransferase, long chain base subunit 1
Exons: 10
Source: RefSeq, a predicted model, not a curated record
AAACAUCAGCAGAAGCGGAAUAUGGCUUCCGGGCAGCAAUGGGUGUUGGUAGAAAUGGUACAAGCUUUUUAUGAGGCUCCUGCAUAUCACCUAAUUCUGGAGGGCAUCUUGAUAUUAUGGAUAAUCAGACUUUUAUUCUCCAAGACCUACAAACUUCAUGAGACUUACAAACUGACAGAAAGGGAAAAAGAGGACCUAAUAGAAGAAUGGCAGCCAGAUCUUCUUGUCCCUCUAAUUUCAAAAGACCAUCCUUCCCUUAAAUACAACAUUGUUUCAGGACCACCCAGCCAUAAAAUCAUAGUCAAUGGAAGGGAGUGCAUUAAUUUUGCCUCUUUUAACUUUUUGGGACUCCUUGACAAUGAACGUGUAAAGGAAAAAGCUUUGAUGUCACUAAAAAAAUACGGUGUUGGCACAUGUGGUCCAAGAGGCUUUUAUGGAACUUUUGAUGUCCAUUUAGAAUUGGAGAAUCGUCUUGCCAAAUUCAUGAAAACAGAGGAGGCCAUUAUCUAUUCAUAUGGCUUUGCAACUAUGGCUAGUGCGAUUCCAGCCUACUCCAAAAGAGGGGACAUGAUCUUUGUGGAUGAAGCUGCCUGUUUCUCCAUCCAGAAAGGCCUUCAGGCAUCCCGCAGCUUCAUCAAAUUCUUCAAACACAAUGACAUGGAUGAUCUGGAGAGGCUGCUAAAGGAGCAAGAGUUGGAGGACCAGAAGAACCCUCGGAAAGCUCGAGUGACGCGGAAGUUCAUUGUGGUUGAAGGAAUGUACAUCAAUACAGCAGAUAUUUGUCCUCUCCCUGAGCUGUAGCCAGGCUUACGGCGCGGGACCGGUCCACCCCGACUCGGUCCGGCGCUCCAACAACGGAGCGGAAAAUGUCUUCAGAUGUCAUGGUGUCGGUCAUGGGCACCAACUCUAGAAUCUCUGUGACAGUCAACGUCUCGUCGACUCCACGAAUAAAUAUGGCCAGUUGAGUGACAUCCGCAAUAUCAGUACUCUCAUCAAUUGCAACAGAAAAUGCCAGAAAUGACUCCGUUUUGCGUUUGAGUUGUUUGUCCAUAUCUGCCGAUAGUUCCAAAAUACUGUCUGCCACGGUAUUUCUCAUCAAGCUAAUAGAACUUUGGAUUUGACGUCACUGCGUGGGACGUUUACGUCUCUUGGCACCAUCUUGUUUUGCCAGAUACCAAAACAAACUUUUUCCUGUGUUUUUAUCAUGUUACCGCUGUAUCCUCCUCUUCCAUAAUGCUGAAAAGUUGUUUGAAAGAAAGAGGGUUAUAUCGUAAAAAGCUUCUCCCAGAAGCCAAAAAAUAAAACAUAAGGCGCUGUGUUGCACCUUCAAAAUAAAAGCAUGCAAGUAGGAGAUUUAAAAAAUUUUCGCAACUGCAGUAAAAUUAUGGGGUGGGAUGAAUGCACCUGUCUCCAAUAUUGGGGCAGGGGACACUUCCAACUCGUUCCCUUGGUUCUUAUGCUCAAGCCACGUUUGGUGCCAAUUUACCUUUUUAUGUGGAAGUUAUAGCAUUUUUUUUUGCGAGGACGCUAAGUUUGCUGCUUGGCCAUGCCAGCUGAACAUAUCCAAAACCUCAGGUUUUUUUUGUGUUUUUUUUUUUUUUUUUCUUUAAUGCCCCAUCCCUUAACUGACCCAAAAUGAAGUUAGUAGCUUAGAAUCCCAAGGACAGGACGCCGACCCUCAAGGACCGGCAUCCUGUCUUCGACAGUUAACAAACUUCUCUAGAAGGAGUUUGUUAAAGUUCGAGAUUUGUAAAAGUAAUAAAUGGGCAAAAUUUGCCCUUGGACCCAAAAAGGCUGCAUCUCUGUACAUUUUACGGAGCACUUCCAAGAUACUUUUUUCUUAAUUUAGGAGCGCUGUACCUAUGUACCAUAUUUCAGAUCUCUGCAUCCCAUGUGUUGUCCUAUCUCAUGUUAGGGGGCACUGUAGAGCAGUUUGGCCACACGCAUUUGCGAUUCCAAUAUUAUCUAAAAAUUUUAGUUGGGACAAUUUUGGAUGAAGUUGGUGAAUUUUUGAAGAUGUUAAACCCUCCAAAAUGCAGUGCACAUUAGAAAAAUAAGAAAUCCUGCAAUUACAAUUACAUUGAAGCAAACUUCAGAUUGGUGCAGACAACUCUCCAGAUUUUGCCAGUUUUGUAUUCAUAAAAAUUUUAAAGACGAGAAUAUAUGUUCUACUUUUUUGGCGAACCUUGCUCUUGUAAGAUAAAAAGUGUAAGGAAAGAAAAACUGCACUCAAAUCUUCCUUAUUGAGGUUUUGCCUGACAUUACAACUGAAAUACUGCUGUACUCUGUCCAUCCAACUAAUAGCCUGAAUUGUACCUCUAUGUGUUAUUGCUAACAACUAAACAUAAAGAAUGUAGUCAAAGCACGUGAGGCACCAGGAAUGUUUUUAUGAUCUCUACUAUCUGUCUAAUUUCCCAGGUCAAGCUCAAGUAUAGAUACAAGGUGCGGAUCUUUUUGGAGGAGAGCAUGUCUUUUGGUGUGUUGGGUGAACACGGUAAAGGUGUCACAGAACACUUUGGGGUGAAUAUUGAUGACAUCG